CCGAAACCACCGCCCACGCUUUUACACUUCCUAUUGCUAUGAAUUCCAUAGUGAGACAGGAGAUCAACCACAGAGUGAGGGAACUAAACUUUUGUCUCCAGCUUCUCUACUAGCACCCUAUCUAAUGAGGAUGCAGGUGGAGAAAAUAAGAAGCAGGAAAACUCAUGAUUCAAGGUAAAGGCACUUUAAUAAAGCAAAACCAAAGGUUGUACAUGGAUGCGAAGGAAGACCAAAAGAUUUCUUCUGUACUUCCCAUCAGCUGGUGAUAUCCAACCA
Long non-coding RNA from Vidua chalybeata, 276 nucleotides. RefSeq lists it as uncharacterized. NCBI's taxonomy places the organism in Eukaryota, Metazoa, Chordata, Aves, Passeriformes, Viduidae. The transcript has 3 exons. The record is from RefSeq and is a predicted model, not a curated record.